AUUGAACGCUGGCGGCAGGCCUAACACAUGCACGUCGAACGAGUGGCGGACGGGUGAGUAAUGUCUGGGAAAGUGACAGAGGGAGGGGGAUAAAUACUGGAAAAGGUAGAUAAUACCGCAAACCAUCGGAUGUGCCCAGAUGGGAUUAGCUUGUAGGGUGGGUAACGGCUCACCUAGGCGACGAUACCUAGCUGGUCUGAGAGGAUGACCAGCCACACUGGAACUGAGACACGGUCCAGACGCCUACGGGAGGCAGCAGUGGGGAAUAUUGCACAAUGGGCGCAAGCCUGAGGCAGCCAUGCCGCGUGUAUGAAGAAGGCCUUCGGGUUGUAAAGUACUUUCAGCGAGGAGGCGUUACUCGCAGAAGAAGCACCGGCUAACUCCGUGCCAGCAGCCGCGGUAAUAC
This 406-nucleotide ribosomal RNA is filed under the name uncultured bacterium. RNAcentral's name for it is "partial 16S ribosomal RNA". It matches the Rfam family "Bacterial small subunit ribosomal RNA", at positions 29 to 526 of the family's 1533-position model. The record is from RNAcentral.